CCUACGGGGCGCAGCAGUGGGGGAUAUUGCACAAUGGGGGGAACCCUGAUGCAGCGACGCCGCGUGGGUGAAGGAGUGCUUCGGCAUGUAAAGCCCUAUCGGCAGGGCAGAAGCAAGACGGUACCUGACUAAGAAGCCCCGGCUAACUACGUGCAAGCAGCCGCGGUAAUACGUAGGGGGCGAGCGUUAUCCGGAUUCACUGGGUGUAAAGGGAGCGUAGACGGCGAUGCAAGCCAGGGGGGAAAGCCCGGGGCCCAACCCCGGGACUGCCGUUGGAACUGUGCGGCUAGAGUGCGGGAGGGGCAGGCGGAAUUCCAGGUGUAGCGGUGAAAGGCGUAGAUAUCAGGAGGAACACCGGCGGCGAAGGCGGCCUGCUGGACUGCGACUGACGUUGAGGCUCGAAAGCGUGGGGAGCGAACAGGAGUAGAUACCCCUGUAGUC
This 441-nucleotide ribosomal RNA is filed under the name uncultured bacterium. RNAcentral's name for it is "partial 16S ribosomal RNA". It matches the Rfam family "Bacterial small subunit ribosomal RNA", at positions 338 to 795 of the family's 1533-position model. The record is from RNAcentral.